This 342-nucleotide ribosomal RNA is filed under the name uncultured prokaryote. RNAcentral's name for it is "partial 16S ribosomal RNA". The record is from RNAcentral.
CCCUACGGGGUGCACCAGGCUGUAUGUCCAUAACGGCGCGGCCUGGAGCAAUGUGCAGAAUACGACGCAUAAUCAUGAUUCCGUUUAUGCGGCGAUUAACCACAAUCACGACGCCGCGUAUGCGCCGAUAGCGCACAAUUUUGCCUCGGCCGACUAUGGCGAGAACUGGGGCGACAGCUCCGGCAUCACCGCCGCUCUUGGCGCGGCGACGGCGGGCGGGAUCGUGAAGGUCCUGCAGAAUACCAACGCCACCGGUGGCGGCGUCCGGGGGUAUGUGGCCGACGGCAGCGCGGGGAAGUACACGGCAUUGUCGUAGUAACCCUGAUCAAUUGGCGGGGGAGC